GAUGAACGCUAGCGGCAGGCUUAACACAUGCAAGUCGAGGGUAGAGGAAGCUUGCUUCCUUGAGACCGGCGCACGGGUGCGUAACGCGUAUGCAACCUACCUUUUACAGAGGGAUAGCCCAGAGAAAUUUUGGAUUAAUACCUCAUGGUAUAUAUCAUUCGCAUGUUUGAUAUAUUAAAGUUCCAACGGUAAAAGAUGGGCAUGCGUCCUAUUAGCUAGAUGGUAAGGUAACGGCUUACCAUGGCAACGAUAGGUAGGGGUCCUGAGAGGGAGAUCCCCCACACUGGUACUGAGACACGGACCAGACUCCUACGGGAGCAGCAGUGAGGAAUAUUGGACCAAUGGGCGCAAGCCUUGAUCCAGCCAUGCCGCGUGCAGGAAGAAGCAUCUAUGGUGUGUAAACUGCUUUUGUAUGGGAAAAAAUCAAUCUUACGUGUAGGAUGUUGAUGGUACCAUGAGAAUAAGGAUCGGCUAACUUCGUG
RNAcentral lists this ribosomal RNA (482 nucleotides) under uncultured bacterium. RNAcentral describes it as "bacterial SSU rRNA". It matches the Rfam family "Bacterial small subunit ribosomal RNA", at positions 28 to 507 of the family's 1533-position model. The record is from RNAcentral.